GGUCGGGUGCCGCAGGUCGGGAGGAUCCACUGGAGGGCUUGCACUUACCUCUCUGCUGACCUUGAACAGAUUCCAUAAAAUUCAAAAUAAUGAUUGUCACUAUACUGGAUGGACUGCUGAACUAUUGAAUUACUUCCAUCUUUUAACCACACUAGGAAAUCAUCCAAGGAGUUGAAAUAUUUAUUGCAGUAAUUUCUGACCUUACAUACUUGAGGUUGAAUGCGUUUGGGAACUUGAUGCAUAAAAUUUGCAUGACUCCUCACUCCUUUCUGGAUCUGUCAUUGGAUUCAAGCCAACAUGGCUCACACCACAAAGGUUAACGGCUGUGCCUCAGG
RNAcentral lists this long non-coding RNA (335 nucleotides) under Sus scrofa (pig). RNAcentral describes it as "lncRNA (ENSSSCG00060063365.1)". Lineage: Eukaryota; Metazoa; Chordata; Mammalia; Artiodactyla; Suidae. The record is from RNAcentral.